GCAGUGCACGAAAACGGGUGCAAUGACAACAAGUGAAAGUAAAAUAUUUAAGACAGAUAAUCCAUUGACAACCAAACAGCCGGGGGAAGCAAACAAGAAAGGUAAGUCCUUCAGUAGCUAAUUGAAUACAGUACCCACAAUAAUUGCACAGUGCACUUUCAACUGUUGAAGCCGAGGUUUGAGUUUUAAUUUGGAAACUGUAUCAACACAGAUCAAGUCAUCCAUAUUGUGAGUUCAGGUGCAAUUUCUGUUUUCUCCUUUGUGGUCCAUCUGAAUAGCAUGCUGUAGUUAAGAUACCUACCAUCAGGUUGCAUUAUAUAGGAAGUUUUAUUUAUUAUUCUGGAUUCACACUUGAGCAUGGGUACCUCCAAGACAGCCCAGGCCUAUAGCCUGCAAAAUGCAAUUUCCUGUAACAGAAAUUUUUAUUUGUAGAUUUCUGUCAGAACCAGCAACAGCCUAAAUGCCUGUGUUCAUGACCACCUGAUCAGGAUAGCAAUACAUUUUACUCUAUCCCACAUGGCAGUCAUAUUAAAUAAAAUACUGAACAACGUGUAUUUAUAAAGAUAGUAAACAUGAUAAAUCGCCCGAACUGCGGAAAGCUGUCGUGCGAAGUUAGUGGCGAUAUCCUUUAACGUGUUCUACACAGUUUGUGACGGGGUGGAAAUCCCAUUUCAACAUGGGUGAAAACUACAAACCGCCUGCUUGCCAACACUCGAAGAACAUCUCAACUAUAAUGUAGUGCAGCUUUUAUUAUUCUUAGCAGUUUUCAUAAGCAAUGCCAUAUGAUAAACACGGUUGACUGUAUUAGCUUGGAUAGUUACAAUGCUGAUAUUAAUAUGAACGUGAUGCAUUAUAGUAAACCAAGUGGUGAGCUGCCGCAAUGUUGUUUUCCAAAUGAAAGAGUGGGCCUUUAACUGCCAUCCCAAUUCUAUUCUCUCUACACCGUAUGAGCAUACUGGCUCUAAAAGGAGUCUCUGGGGAGAAAGCGGAGGUGGGCAGUGCCUACAAAGAAAUGUCACUCUGAUGGAAUUGACAUUUACAAUGAAGCUGGAAGCCAAAUCCAGCAGGAGAGACCAGUCUCACCUGUACCCAGCUGUCUGUCCAUGCAAACAGACAUGUCUAUUGAUCCUCCGUUCAACUUCAUGACAGAAAAUAUAUCUACUGAUCAAAAGCCUUUCUGCAGCAGAGACCAGUUCUGUCCACGAACAGUGACCAGUCAAUGGGACAUCAAGAACACUUCAGGGAUGGGAACACUGGGCAUGCGGCUAAGUUUUCUGCUGACAGGAUCCAAGAGGAGAGAGCCAAUUCUCCUGGACCAAGCUUUGAGUCCUUUAAGAGUGACUGGUCAAUGGUUCAUCCUAAAACACAAUUCGGGUAGGAAGGCAUUUCUACUGAUCAAAGAGACCUGCAAGAGAGAUCGGAGUCAGACAUUCCCCGUGGCCGGUCCACGGCAGACAUGUCCUCCAUAUUCAAGUUAGUUGAAGACCAAGUCAUCACAUUUGUAAAGAGUUAAUUGAAGAAGUUCAAGAAGAUUCGGAGUCCAGAUCACCCAGAAUGCUCUAACAGUCAGGGGAAGGGUGGUGGUGUAUGGUGAAGAUGAGAACCAGGAGAGCAGUGCCAGAGAGGGGGCUCUGAAGAUCACACUGCACAUCCUGAGGAACAUGAACCAGAAAGCGCUCACUGACACACUGGAGAACAAUCUUUUAGGUGAGCUUGCUGUGUGUCAACCUAAACUCAACUUUAACAAAAGGAAGUUUGAAUGCGUGUUUGAAGGAAUGGCUACACAAGGAAACCCAACACUUCUCAAUCAGAUCUACACCGAGCUCUACAUUCACAGAGGGUGGAAGUGGAGAGGGCAAUAAUGAACAUGAGUUUAGACCCUCCAGUCCAGCAGAGCAGCUUCACUCCUGAAUUCUGUGUGAACCAUGAUGCAGAACGCUGGAUAAAAUCUGGCCUAAGAAAAUGUGACUUAAUUUCUCUUGAAAGCUACAAACACAAAUGAUUCAAUGCCUGUGAGCCAACACUGGACGCAAACACGGCACACAGAAAACUCUGUCAGAGGGGAACAUGGGGGAGAGAAGAGCAGCCGUAUCCUGAUCACCCAGAGAGAUGUGAGGGCUGUUGGCAGGUGCUGUGUAAAGAGGGUCUGAAUAGGCGCAGUUAUUGGGAGUCGGAUCGAAGAGGAAAUGGGAGUGACAGAGAAACAUCGGCAGAAGUGGAGUUUGACUGUUGGCUUCGACGUAAUGACAAGUCCUGGAGUUUGCGAUGCUCUGACAACAGUUGCGUCGCCUUCCAUAAUGCUAGGAGUAUUGCUUUACCUGCUCCCUCGUCUUAUUCGAACAGAGGAGUGUAUCUGGACUGGCUGGCACUCUGUCCUUCUACAGUGUCUCCUCUGGUACACUGACCCAUCUGCAUACAUUCUACUCCACAUUUUCUAACCCUCUUUACCCAGGGUUUAGGGUUGGGAAUGAUGAGUGUGCCCGUGUCAGGUAGAGCAGCCUCCAAUUUGAAACUCAGGCCAGAAUUCCAUCUAGUUGAUUUUGGCAUUGCGGUGUUAGAAGUACGUUCACGUUGCAGUGCAACGUGUUCGCUCCAGACUUGAUACUCGAUUUAGAAAUCAGUAAUCCCAUACUACCUGGUUUUAGUGGAAGCCCUGGUAGGAUGUUGAGUUACCCACCCUCCCUUCUAUUUUUAUCUUGAUAAUUCAUUGCAGUCACGCAGAUUUUAAAUCUGUGACACACUGCUGUGCAAAUCAAACACAAUUUCAGUGACCUUAAAUAAAAUGGCAUUUAUUUAUUUUUCUACUCUGCUUUACCUACAGCAAACAACAUUUUUGGUUUUGUUGAAUUUAGCAUCCUGAGUGAGAGAAUUUGUAUGUUUUAUCUGGAAUAAAAAUCUAAGAUGUGCCCAGA
Oncorhynchus tshawytscha (Chinook salmon) is the source of this 2912-nucleotide long non-coding RNA. RefSeq lists it as uncharacterized. The transcript has 10 exons. The record is from RefSeq and is a predicted model, not a curated record. NCBI's taxonomy places the organism in Eukaryota, Metazoa, Chordata, Actinopteri, Salmoniformes, Salmonidae.